This 200-nucleotide ribosomal RNA is filed under the name uncultured prokaryote. RNAcentral's name for it is "partial 16S ribosomal RNA". It matches the Rfam family "Bacterial small subunit ribosomal RNA", at positions 1183 to 1382 of the family's 1533-position model. The record is from RNAcentral.
CGUCAAAUCAUCAUGCCCUUUAUGUCCUGGGCAACACACGUACUACAAUGGCCGCAACAGAGAGAGACGAAGCAGAGAUGUGGAGAAAAACUUAAAAAAGCGGUCUCAGUUCGGAUUGAAGGCUGAAAUUCGCCAGCAUGAAGCCGGAAUUGCUAGUAAUGGCAGGUCAGCAUACUGCCGUGAAUACGUUCCCGGGCCUU